Molecule: ribosomal RNA, 253 nt
Filed under: uncultured bacterium
Lineage: Bacteria
Description: partial 16S ribosomal RNA
Rfam family: Bacterial small subunit ribosomal RNA
Source: RNAcentral
UACAGAGGGUGCAAGCGUUAAUCGGAAUUACUGGGCGUAAAGCGCGCGUAGGUGGUUUGUUAAGUUGGAUGUGAAAUCUCCGGGCUCAACCUGGGAACUGCAUUCAAAACUGACAAGCUAGAGUAUGGUAGAGGGUGGUGGAAUUUCCUGUGUAGCGGUGAAAUGCGUAGAUAUCUGGAGGAACACCGGUGGCGAAGGCGGCAUCCUGGACCGAUAUUGACGCUGAUGCGCGAAAGCCAGGGGAGCAAACGGG